ACUCUCAAAUAAAGAUGAGGAGACACGAGGCAAGUAAUUAAUUGAAUUAAAGGGAAGCAGGAGCAUCAGUGUGUACUUUUUGGGUUUUGUAAUGUAUGUUGGUGGUAAGAAUUGUAGAAUGGUAAUCGCAAAAGACAUUUGAGAAUGUUGUUUGGAUGAGAAAUAGAGGGUGGCAUAUCGCCAUCUUAUUUUGACGACAAGGGUCAAAGGGGAG
RNAcentral lists this long non-coding RNA (214 nucleotides) under Vitis vinifera (wine grape). Its description in RNAcentral is "long non-coding RNA (VVIN_LNC002589)". Lineage: Eukaryota; Viridiplantae; Streptophyta; Magnoliopsida; Vitales; Vitaceae. The record is from RNAcentral.